RNAcentral lists this long non-coding RNA (1803 nucleotides) under Malus domestica (apple). RNAcentral's name for it is "long non-coding RNA (MDOM_LNC014072)". The record is from RNAcentral. Lineage: Eukaryota; Viridiplantae; Streptophyta; Magnoliopsida; Rosales; Rosaceae.
AACACCCAAACCAGACCCUAUCUUCACGGAUUGACAUCGAUGAGGUUGUUUAUGUGUUCCUCAUGAGUCCAGAUGGUCAUCCAUGCCCUUAGUUUGACGUGAAGACCUUGUUUUCCCGAGAACCAGAAAUCCCAGUUUUGAGGCAAUGUUCAUGUGAUCGUGAAUGUGAAGUUUUUAGGAGAUUUUAAGCUACUAGUGAGCCUUAGGACGUCUUUGUGAAGCUUGGAGUAGAAAAAUGAAGUGUUUUGGACGUCGGGAAGUUGAGUUUGGCAAGUUUCAAGUUUGGCCGGAUUAUCAAGGUUUCUCUGGCGAAAUCUCAUGGAUUUCAGGACUUUAAAUUGGUAAGGUUUUGUUCUACUCAUUGUAAGCUUCAUUUUGGUACAAAGUUUGUGAAUUUUGGUUGAGAAUCGAAGAAGAUAUGAAGGUUUGAUUAUUUUCCCAGUUUCUAGCUAUAGCAGCGGCACCGGCGAACCAAAGAAGAAGGAGAAGAAUAUUUCGUCAAAGUUGACAGAAUAUUCUGACGCCGUCAGGUAUAAUUAACGGCAUAUUCUAGUUUUUAACAGAAUAUUCCCUAACGCCGUUAGGGAAUCCGUUUGGUGUGCUAGGCACGUGCCUGCAUGUGAACCGCGUGUCUGGCCAUGCCUUGGCCGGUGCGUGAGGGCGCGUGGGGUCAUGAAUUUUUUUUCUAAAAAUAUGGGGAUAUUUUUGAGGUUGAGUAGAUCAUGGUGGUAUAUUCAAAUACCCCAUUUGAGCAAUGUAUGAGAAGUUAUUUCCUAGUUUUGUGUAUGUGCUUAAAUAACGUUUAUUCAGUUAUUUCGCAUAUAGGUGAGACAUAUCUUGAGGACGAGCACCAUCAAUCAAGGUUUGGGGGCUAUGACCCUUCGACAUAUCACUGAGUUGGAUUUUGGUUUUCCGUAUAUACCUAUAUACUUGAGAUUUUUCCCAGAAAAUGAAUUUGAAUGAUUAUACGUUUUGAAAUGCCAUGCAAAGUAUCUGCCUAUUUUAUUUAUGCAUUAGUAGUUGCAUAUAUUUAUGAUUGGUAUAGCAGACGCUCAGGUAAGUGCCAGGUAAGUUCAUAAAUUAAAGAUAUAAGAUUGCUUCAGUUAUGCGAGAUAAGAUGUGAUGUAUUGAGAGCUCAUAAACCUGCAUCCUGGUGUUAGUGCUUUUGCCCAGAGUUAGGGCACAGUUCUUCAUGUGAUGUUCACCUCCCGCACCAUAUGCUCACCUUGGAUCCAAGUUAGGUGCACAGGCUUGUCGUACAGACCAUUUUAGGUGGUUUCGACUCGUAGGUGACCCGCGAUUAUUCGCACAACCUUCAUGUGAUCAUAGCACUAGAGCAUAUUUAUUUCACACCUAGUCUUGUCGCACAGACCACUUUAGGUGGUUUGGACUCGUGUUCAAGAUUUGAUUUGAUGUGAUUGAGAUUGAUUAUGAGCUAUAGACUCAGCCGUACAGAUUGAGUUAGAGGGAUUUGGCUGAUGCGAUAUUUGACAUUGAUAUAUUUGUCUAGAUUACUCAUGGCAUUGCAUUGAGAUACUCUGGCAUGGUAUACUUCUAUGGAUUUUCAUCUCGAGUAUGAUUUAUGAUACAACUUAUUAUUACUAUUAUUUUCUGGGAAAUUAUACAGGUUUUACGGUGAGGGGUUAGAACUUUUGAGAAAUGAAAUAAUUUUGAAAAGCUUUGUUUUUGCCCACUCACACUUUCUGUUUUGUGCCCCUCCAGAUUUUAGGUAGAAGUGCUUUGGUGGCUCACGGGGAUUUCAAUGGUAGUUCUGACAGAACAUCAUAAAUGUAGGAUCACCAU